Molecule: long non-coding RNA, 3145 nt
Organism: Chelonia mydas (Green sea turtle)
Lineage: Eukaryota; Metazoa; Chordata; Testudines; Cheloniidae
Exons: 3
Source: RefSeq, a predicted model, not a curated record
CACACACACGAGACAACACACAACACCUCCCACGACACACACACGAGACGACACACAACAUCUCCCACGACACACAAAACGGCAGACAUGACACAGCCAGCCCCAAACUGACUCCCCCUCUAGCCUCUCCUCCUCUAGGCUUUGUCCCUAUCCUGGGCCAGGAGGUCACCGGAUUCCUUUGUUCUCCAAUCCUUUAGCUCUCAAGGGCCAGACCAUCAGUUGCCAGGAAAGAGGGUGUCGGCCAUUCUCUGUGUCCAGACCCCUGCACACACCCACCCUCUAGAGCUCUGCAACGAUCAUACACCCUUCUCCCACCACCUAGAUACUUAAGAACUGCAUAGGGGAAACUGAGGCACUCCCACACUAUUCAGAGGAAACAUGAAGAACAGUCCUGCUUUGUCACAGAUGACUCCAGGAGGUGAAUUGCUUGCUAUCUUACCAUGUUUCUCUCUUUCUCUCUCCUCUAGUAUGUUAGCCAACACACACACACUGCCUCUGUCUCUCUCUCUCCGUCCUUGCCUUUCCCAGUGCUGUCUCCCUUUGAAGGACACGGGCAGGCACACUAGGUGUGCAUCCCCAUAGGCUAUGUCUUGGAAGCCAAGAAGAAGUAGGAGAGGACGAAAAUCAUGCAGGGCAGUGCGUGCGAGCGUGGAGCAGUGACUGUCAGUGUUAACUGGAUCUCUCUUCAUCGAGUGGGGCCAAUGCAUGGAUGAGGGCAAGAUUUCCAGCACCAAUGGAGCUUUGUAUAAUGAUAGCUCAUGCUUGGCUUUUGCAGCUACUCUCGCAGAGGAAUUGUCCAGGAGCCUGAGCCAGAGGAGAAGUGGCCGAGGUGUACCUAAGCAGCUUGGACAGCCUUCUAAGCAGACGUGAAGAGUCGUCAGCUUUCUGUCUCCCGCAUAACUGGCUCUGAGUAAGCGGUCAGUGCUUUGAAUUCCUCAUCUGUGCUCGCUGCAGUAUUCUUCAGAGGCCGUGUGCUUCCUCUUUGGGUAUGGGGCUCUGUGAAAUUACAGCUGAUGAGGGGCCUGAGUCUGCUGUGCAGACUGAUUAUUUCAGGUGCCGUUGCAAGGGGUGUUUUCUAGUUGUAGUACUAAAGGCCUCAUGGUGGGGAGGGUUGGGGCAGAAUGCUGCUGUGCAGGAGAAGAAAUAGCCUAUGCCAUGUUGGCCACUGAGAUGGUAACUUAUUUGUUUUUCCUCCUCGAUCUGGGUUUAGUACAAACAGUUUACUCCCCUCAUCGGAUGGAAAGCGAGCAAGAGCAGUGAGCCCGCGAGCACUGUUGAUGUAAGCCAGGAGUCGUCCAGUUGGCAGUGGAGCAGUCGCUAAUGUAAAAGAAGUCCUGCUUCAAAAAUCCUGAGCAAACCUGCCAUUUGUUAAAACCAGGUAACUGUGUCUACAUAAAGGUCCAUCAACAAAAAACUACUCUGGCCGCAUGCUGGAAAGACCCUUAUUAAGUCCUGCUAACUACCAACACCGCUGUGAAGUGCCAAGGACUGACUGCCUGGACCCAUGCUUCUGACUGCAAAAGACCCCUCCACCUCGAGAUGACUUCACGUCGACUACUGAUCAGCCUGUCCCUCUUUCUGGGUUUUUUUUCUUUCCUCCUUUUGGACAGCAGGAAAAAAAAACAAGGUAAAGGUUCCUGGAUCCACCAUAGCUACGUUAAGUUGGCGCUGGGACUCCCACCUGACCCUGACAAGCCAUUGGACGAGCCACUUCACGAAUGAACACCACGACCAACGCAUGGACUAAGCUUUCCAGCUACUGGGACCUUCACAGCCCACCAGGACUUUUUGUGUUCCUGUUUAUUGGACUUACAUUGGGGGUAGUGUUUUUUGUAUGGUAUAAAGGAGAAUGCCGACAUUGGUAUGGUUUGCCUGGGGGGUUCCUCUCCCUAUUCCCAAGUCCAGUACAAGGAUGGGAGGGCAAUAGCUUCUUGAAUUUAACCCGUGCUGUCAAACAGGGUGUAAAUCGAACGCAGUGUUGGAUUGGUAUUCAUACCCCCACGUAUUUAGGUCAGGGGGUCCCGUUGGUAGGGGUACCUAUGCCCCUUAAUUGAACUCUCCAAACUAAGCUAUGGGCAAACACUACAUUUAACUGGAUGCUACAAUCCAAAUAUGGUCUAUUGAUAUGGUGGCCCAGGGCAAUUAUGCUUCCUGUGUGUCACGACGUAAGGGCAUAGAAAAUACAGUUUUUGUAGGGAAUUUUGUGGGGUGCAAGGACACCAGCCAAAUCAGCUCUGGUGCAGAAGGCCCCUCUACCUACUCCAGGACCCCGUGGCCAGUCCCCGAAGGGUCUGGCUGGUAUUGGUUAUGCAAUCACACAGCCUAUAAGGUUCUCCCAGCAGGAUGGUGUGGUACAUGUACCUUAGGGGCUAUAGUACCCGCCGUGACAGUACACCAGAACCUGACCCGGGGAGAGAUCCGCAAUCUAGUAUGGAGGGACAGACAAAGUAUUCCUUUAAACCCCCUUUCUCAACGGCCCAAAGGCUUUCACUCCUUUGUGUGUUGGUUUCUGCCAUGGUUGGGAGUAAGCGAGCUGAAAAAAGCUAUAGUUAACAUUUCAGCUGCUUUGAAACUAAUGGCAAAUGCUACUGCAGAUGCUCUAUCUGCCCUUCAAAUUGAAGUCACCCAGCUAUCCCAACCUACAUUGCAAAACCGCCUAGCCCUGGAUUAUCUCCUUGCAACUCAGGGCGGGGUUUGUGCUCUGGUCAACUCAAGCUGUUGUGUAUUUGUAAAUCAGCACCAUAGGGUGGAAACUGACAUCCACAUCCUCAAGCAACAGGCAGCCCUAUUCCACCACAUCAGCCUCGACACUACCAGCGCUGGAUUUCAGGAGGUCUGGGACGGGCUCACCUCAUGGCUACCGGAUGUGGGGACUUGGGGACGGCGUAUUUUGUAUUUACUUUUUUUGACUGUUAUUGUUUUUGCAUUAUUUUUUGUAUGCCUACAAUGCUGCAGUAUGUGCUGUCGGCAGUUGCUAACCCUGCAGCGCGGUUACUCAGCCCCAAUAUAGCUUACUGAUGUACAAAAAGAAAGGGAGGACUGUUAAGGAAAAGUUAGGACAUGUGACUCCAUUUUGGUUUGGGGCCCACCAUUGUUUAAAUGCCAGCACAUCAUACACCAAGAGGAGUGAUCCUUAAAUACUGAA